RNAcentral lists this ribosomal RNA (684 nucleotides) under uncultured bacterium. RNAcentral describes it as "bacterial SSU rRNA". It matches the Rfam family "Bacterial small subunit ribosomal RNA", at positions 143 to 803 of the family's 1533-position model. The record is from RNAcentral.
ACAACAGACGGAAACGACUGCUAAUACCGAAUAAGUUCCAAGAGCCGCAUGGCCCAUGGAAGAAAAGGUGGCCUCUACCUGUAAGCUAUCGCCUGAAGAGGGGUUUGCGUCUGAUUAGCUGGUUGGAGGGGUAACGGCCCACCAAGGCGAUGAUCAGUAGCCGGUCUGAGAGGAUGAACGGCCACACUGGAACUGAGACACGGUCCAGACUCCUACGGGAGGCAGCAGUGGGGAAUCUUCCGCAAUGGGCGAAAGCCUGACGGAGCAACGCCGCGUGAGUGAUGACGGCCUUCGGGUUGUAAAACUCUGUGAUCCGGGACGAAAAGGCAGAGUGCGAAGAACAAACUGCAUUGACGGUACCGGAAAAGCAAGCCACGGCUAACUACGUGCCAGCAGCCGCGGUAAUACGUAGGUGGCAAGCGUUGUCCGGAAUUAUUGGGCGUAAAGCGCGCGCAGGCGGCUUCCCAAGUCCCUCUUAAAAGUGCGGGGCUUAACCCCGUGAUGGGAAGGAAACUGGGAAGCUGGAGUAUCGGAGAGGAAAGUGGAAUUCCUAGUGUAGCGGUGAAAUGCGUAGAGAUUAGGAAGAACACCGGUGGCGAAGGCGACUUUCUGGACGAAAACUGACGCUGAGGCGCGAAAGCGUGGGGAGCAAACAGGAUUAGAUACCCUGGUAGUCCACGCCGU